RNAcentral lists this ribosomal RNA (253 nucleotides) under uncultured bacterium. RNAcentral's name for it is "partial 16S ribosomal RNA". It matches the Rfam family "Bacterial small subunit ribosomal RNA", at positions 524 to 776 of the family's 1533-position model. The record is from RNAcentral.
UACGUAGGGUGCGAGCGUUAAUCGGAAUUACUGGGCGUAAAGCGUGCGCAGGCGGUUUUGUAAGCCAGAUGUGAAAGCCCCGGGCUCAACCUGGGAAUGGCAUUUGGGACUGCAAGGCUUGAGUGCGGCAGAGGAGACUGGAAUUCCUGGUGUAGCAGUGAAAUGCGUAGAUAUCAGGAGGAAUACCGAUGGCGAAGGCAGGUCUCUGGGCUGACACUGACGCUCAUGCACGAAAGCGCGGGGAGCAAACAGG